UCUAUCUCCAAGCUCUAACUUUCAUGAUUUUCUCAUUAAUUAUUUUCUGCAUACUUUCCAAUCCUGGUCACACUGAAAAAGCAUAAAGAUAGCUUCAUAAAAUUGGGAUAUCCCUUUGAACCACUCUUUUCUAGUAUAGAUCUAUUUAUUAUUAUGUUCUAUUUCAUAUAUAGAUCUGAUGUACAAGUCCCUCUCUAUUAAUCCAAACAUUAACCCUAUUUUUUAACAGUGCCGAUAAGCAGCAGCACUCCUUGAAACCCACUGACCAUGAUGAUGAUGCAGAUUGGCCAAAAAUGAGGUGUAAUUUUAGAGUACCAUGUGAUUUGGAGUGCUCAGGGAGAACGGAUGGAUCGAUGCUUCCACAAACUGACUGACGAAAUCAGCACGAGGUCUCGGGAAGGCUGGAAAACCCCCAAAAUAAAGUCUCUGAUACGAGAGUGGGAUCUGGCCAACUAAUGCCCCGAAGGACCGACGAAGACGUUUCGGUUUUGGUUACGGAUUGCUGGUUAUUCAUCACGGCCCUGCGACAUAAUCAACCGGACCCGGACCCGGACGGCAUGAUUUAGUGAUAGAGUGGCGGUGUUGCAUCAAGUCCGGCCGGCUGGAAUGGUCGCCAAAGAAACAAUAUCCAACUAUCCAUAUAUCGAUUGCCGCCGUCAUAAUUCCGUCGCCGCAGUGUCAUAAAAACCCAGUCCGCCAAGAAGAGGUUCUCUAUAACGAGUACACUGAGAAAAAAUCAAGUAAAGACUUUUAAUAUUAAUAGUUCAUAAGGGGAUAUCUACUAUAAACACUUGUUGAAAGUAGAAUUAACAAAAAUAAAGUUUUAGUAGCAAGACUAUAUACUUUCUCCACUUAUUUUUGUCAGUGCAUCUAUAUUCCACACAUAAGGAUAUUAUCUACCUGCCGAGGAUAUGCGGCGCGUGCGCUAAUAUACCUCCAUAUACCAAAUGAUGACCAGAC
Molecule: long non-coding RNA, 960 nt
Organism: Drosophila ananassae
Lineage: Eukaryota; Metazoa; Arthropoda; Insecta; Diptera; Drosophilidae
Exons: 2
Source: RefSeq, a predicted model, not a curated record